This 125-nucleotide non-coding RNA is filed under the name Fulvivirga imtechensis. RNAcentral's name for it is "SAM-I sequence". It matches the Rfam family "SAM riboswitch aptamer (S box leader)". Rfam says of the family: The SAM riboswitch is found upstream of a number of genes which code for proteins involved in methionine or cysteine biosynthesis in Gram-positive bacteria. The SAM riboswitch acts at the level of transcription termination control. Lineage: Bacteria; Pseudomonadati; Bacteroidota; Cytophagia; Cytophagales; Fulvivirgaceae. RNAcentral also lists the same sequence under 1 other name. The record is from RNAcentral.
GAUUUAUAAAGAAUGAGGUGAGAGACAGGCUCUGAGACCCUCUGGCAACCAUCAGUCUAAGUGAUAUAGGUGCCAAAUCCUGAUCCCAAAUGUUCGCCAGGUUGGCGGAUGGGAGAAUAUAAAUU